This 442-nucleotide ribosomal RNA is filed under the name uncultured Hyphomicrobiaceae bacterium. RNAcentral's name for it is "bacterial SSU rRNA". It matches the Rfam family "Bacterial small subunit ribosomal RNA", at positions 334 to 795 of the family's 1533-position model. Lineage: Bacteria; Pseudomonadati; Pseudomonadota; Alphaproteobacteria; Hyphomicrobiales; Hyphomicrobiaceae. The record is from RNAcentral.
GACCUACGGGGGGCUGCAGUGGGGAAUCUUGGACAAUGGGCGCAAGCCUGAUCCAGCCAUGCCGCGUGAGUGACGAAGGCCUUAGGGUUGUAAAGCUCUUUUGGCGGGGACGAUAAUGACGGUACCCGCAGAAUAAGCCCCGGCUAACUUCGUGCCAGCAGCCGCGGUAAUACGAAGGGGGCUAGCGUUGUUCGGAAUUACUGGGCGUAAAGCGCACGUAGGCGGAUUUGUAAGUCAGGGGUGAAAUCCCGGGGCUCAACCUCGGAACUGCCUUUGAUACUGCAAAUCUAGAGUCCGAUAGAGGUGAGUGGAAUUCCUAGUGUAGAGGUGAAAUUCGUAGAUAUUAGGAAGAACACCAGUGGCGAAGGCGGCUCACUGGAUCGGUACUGACGCUGAGGUGCGAAAGCGUGGGGAGCAAACAGGAUUAGAUACCCGAGUAGUC